Molecule: non-coding RNA, 836 nt
Organism: Pelodiscus sinensis (Chinese soft-shelled turtle)
Lineage: Eukaryota; Metazoa; Chordata; Testudines; Trionychidae
Source: RefSeq, a predicted model, not a curated record
CCCGGGGAGCACCUGGCCCUGGCGGCUGCGGGAGACGGGACACCGGGGUAGAUGGGCCCUGCUCGGAUGCAGGAGACGAUUUCUAGGCUGCAGGGACAUUCCCAGCAUGAACCCGGAUAACGAGGCUUUGGUGGGAGACGGGGACCAGCUAGUGGUUUUACUAGUCCACCCCCACCCCUCUGCCCCUGUUAUCCCUCUCCCCAAGCCCCCUUGCUCGUGCCCUUCCCCACACAACCUCAGAUCAUCCCCCCUACCCUCCCAGCUGCUGGCACUUUCUAGCUCUCGGUUGCCCCUGUGGUGCUCCAGAUAGAGCUGGCCUGGCAGGAGACACAGCCUGGCUGGGAGAUGUUUCCUUCUAGUGCAAUCUCUAGGCUUGGCCAAUCUCUCGUGAAAGGGUUGCCCACCAAGCGACUAGCAGCACUUGACUGACAAUGCACCUUGAGCGGUGCCGAUCCACAUCUGAGGAGCUUUGUGGGGAACCUUCUGACCGGCACCUCAUCGCUUCUGGAGCAUCUUUGCUAGGAAUGGAGCCGGAAAGGACUGCUGCUCACAGAGGAUGUAUUCCAGAGACGUUUAAGUUAGCACUUUGCUCCAUCUCUGCAGCAAGCCUGCACCAGAAACUUUGUACUGGGUGCAUGUCAUAUGUUUCCUUUACUAAUUUUACUCUCAACUCUUUCUUUCUUUCUUUCUUUCUUUCUUUCUUUCUUUCUUUCUUUCUUUCUUUCUUUCUUUCUUUCUUGAAUAAACCUAUAGAUUUUAGAGGCUAAAGGACUGGCCCUUUUUGGGGUGAGAUCUGAGGUACAAAUUGACCUGGGAUUGCAGUGGGUCCUUUGGGA